This 342-nucleotide unclassified non-coding RNA is filed under the name soil metagenome. RNAcentral's name for it is "partial contains 5.8S ribosomal RNA, internal transcribed spacer 2, and large subunit ribosomal RNA". The stretch from base 1 to 120 matches the Rfam family "5.8S ribosomal RNA", at positions 35 to 154 of the family's 154-position model. The record is from RNAcentral.
GAUGAAGAACGCAGCGAAAUGCGAUAAGUAGUGUGAAUUGCAGAAUUCAGUGAAUCAUCGAAUCUUUGAACGCACAUUGCGGCCAUAGGUAUUCCUUUGGCCAUGCCUGUUCGAGCGUCAUUUACACCCUCAAGCCUAGCUUGGUGUUGGGCGUCUGUCCCGCCGUUCUCGCGCGCGGACUCGCCUCAAAGUCAUUGGCGGCGGUCGUGCCGGCCCCCUCGCGCAGCACAUUUGCGCUUCUCGGAGGCCCGGCGGAUCCGCGCUCCAGCAAGACCUUUCACGACUUGACCUCGGAUCAGGUAGGGAUACCCGCUGAACUUAAGCAUAUCAAUAAGCGGAGGA